RNAcentral lists this ribosomal RNA (720 nucleotides) under Nasikabatrachus sahyadrensis (pig-nosed frog). RNAcentral's name for it is "partial 12S ribosomal RNA". It matches the Rfam family "Bacterial small subunit ribosomal RNA", at positions 291 to 1344 of the family's 1533-position model. Lineage: Eukaryota; Metazoa; Chordata; Amphibia; Anura; Nasikabatrachidae. The record is from RNAcentral.
CACCCCCGUGAGAACGCCCUCAUGCCCCCCUAGGGGGCAAGGAGCCGGUAUCAGGCACAACCUGUUAGCCCAAAACACCUAGCACAGCCACUCCCACAAGGGUAAUCAGCAGUGAUCAACUUUGAGUAUAAGCGACAGCUAGACUCAGUCAGAGUAAACUAGGGCCGGCAAAUCCGGUGCCAGCCGCCGCGGCUACACCGUGCAGGCUCGAGUUGAUGGCUCCGGCGUAAAGCGUGGUUAAAGUAUAUACAUCACUGGAAUUAAAUUAUAGCCAAGCUGUGACACGCUCGCUAUACAGAAACCCAAGUACGAAAGUCAUUCCAUUAAACUUGAACCCACGACAGUUAGGACACAAACUGGGAUUAGGAACCCCACUAUGCCUGACCGUAAACUUUCAAACUACAUCAACAACCGCCAGGACAUUACGAGCCAAGCUUAAAACCCAAAGGACUUGACGGCGCCCCAAAUCCCUCUAGAGGAGCCUGUUCUAUAAUCGAUAACACCCGUUAUACCUCACCACCCCUUGCCACAUUCAGCCUGUAUACCUCCGUCGCCAGCUCACCACAUGAGCGAACAUUAGUGAACUCAAUGGCCCCCGCCAAUACGUCAGGUCAAGGUGCAGCAUAUGUUGUGGGCAGAAAUGGGCUACACUUCCUACCCCCCUAGGAUACACAGAUGACCUAAUGAAACCUGGUCAGAAGGCGGAUUUAGCAGUAAAAG